AUUUCCUUUUCAGGUGGGAGCAGUGUCAAAGACCUUGCUGGCCUGUUCUAAGACACCCGGCCCUGGUUCUAUGGCUACGGAACCUGCCCUUUUAUUGGGAGAUGUGAGGCUGUGCUGCUCCAGGCCAAGAAACUUCCACUGCUGGGCCAGAGAGAAAGUGUGCCGCAGCCAGGCCAGAGCUGCACACAAUCACAGGCCAAGACUCCUUCAAAAAAGAGAGGCCAGGUGCCUGGCCUGUGCCUGUGGUCCAUCGUCGAAGUCUGCGGUUCCUUCUCCCACCUCUUUUCCGUCGUUCAUCUCCAUCUCACCACAGUGAUUGACAGGUUGGACACGGAUGGCCUCUGCCCCGAUCCCACAAGCCCUCAGAGCUCCCCAGCCCCCUCCCACACUGGCUCCCUCAGCCGUCCUGCCCCUCCAUCAGGCUGGGCCGCACAGCUCCAGCCCCUUGUCCACCUGCUGUGAGUUACCUGCGCGCCUCCUUUGGGUCUGAGACAGGAACACUCUCAACAAGUGGCAGCAGCAAUGAGGCAAUGUUCCCUUCACCCAGGUGCCACCCACACGUCACCCACGCUACCAGCCCCUCCACGGCUCCCAGGUACACCCAGGCCAUCCAAUCUAAAUAAACAAGCCCCCGAACAGAGCCAGUGGUGGGUGCCAUGAUGCUGUGACAACCUGAAGUGUCCAUCCCAGGGAACCAGCAGGAAGAAGAGGCCGGUUCAUGGAAUGCAUGUAGUGGAGUCCCUCCAGGACCAGAUCCUGAGACAGUUGGCAAGUUGGGCUAUGAACUGCUGAGGACUUGACAUGUAGGAGUUUCAAGUGGAAUUUCUAUGGCAUUUAACACCUUGCACAGGCCUGGCAUAUAGAAGGCAUCAAAUCAACAUUAAACAGAUGAAGCAUCAUUGAGUGGACUGAGAUGAAUGGGUUGGACUGAUGGAUGGAUGGAUGGAUAGAUGAAUGGAUGAAUGAUGGGUGGGUGGAUGGAAGAAUGGGCUGGUAGGUUCAUGGAUGGGUGGAUGGAUAGGUGGAUGAGUAGAUGAGUGGGUGGAUGGAUGACUGGGCAGAUGGACAGAUGGAUGGCUAUUUGUUCCACCUACUGGGUAAGCCAGUGGCUGGAUGAGCAGCUACACUAGGGCACCACUGACCAGACAAUGAUGAAACUGUUUGGAUUGGUGUUUUGCACCCCAGUACUCAGAAUCAUCCUGCUUUGACAUCUGCUUCCAGCCCCAGGUUCUCCAGAUCACUGAGCCAUGUGGCUGUUGGUCCCAGGUCACUGAGUUUAAGUGACUGCAACAUCUAUGUUAGGGUCCUGGGUCCUCAGGCACAGGACCAUGAUAGGAGUUUCCCAUUGGGCAGUGAGGUAGAGUGGGAUGAUGCAGUGGUGGACAGAAACUGGGCUUAUUCACUUUUUGGUUAUUUGUGGAAUCCCUCAGAAAAGUACUGUACUGCAGAAAUGCUUGUUUGGAUAGAUUUGAUAGAUUUUCUAUCAGCAAAUCUUUGGCUUUUUCACUCAAUUAACUAUUUGUUGUCAUUUCUAACCACUCUCCUGUUCACCUAUUUAUUUUUUGUCCACUUAUCCUUUACACUUAUUUUUCUAUCUACUUCUCCCCUAAUUACCCAUUCACAUAUUUACCUACUACCCACCCACCAUCCCACGCAUCUAUCCCUAGAUCUAUCCACUCAUUCCUCAAACUAGUCAUCCACCCAUCUUUCUACACUUACCUGCCUAUCAAUCCAUUCAUCCAUCCAUCCAUCCAUCCAUCCAUCCAUCCAUCUAUUCAUACAUCCAUCCAUUCAUCCAUCCAUCCAUCCAUUCAUCCAUCCAUUACUUAUCCAUCUAUCCAUUCCACACCCCCAUACCCCCAUUUACAUAACCAGCCCCCACACAGGCCUGUGUCUGAUUUGUACUUGUUUGGCCCAUAACAGGUACACUGCAAAUAUUUGAGCAUCAAAUGCAUACAAGUGAUCAGACCAAGAAGAGAGAGGGAGAGGCAGGGUACCUGAGGACAUCAGGCACAGCCAGGCCAGGCUGAGAUAGGGGUGGGAGCCCCCAGCAACUAGGAAGGAAUGAGCACAAGAUUCUGAAAAAAGGGGUUCAGAUCCCAGCCCUGGCACAUUGAGCUAGGUGAAUUCAGAGAGCUCCCCUCCUACAGAGUCCAGAGUCCCUCCACCCCCAAAGAAUAAGUUCUGUGAAGUAUUGGAAGAUGUGUUCGUUUGUGCUCUCAGUGAGUCUUCUAUGAUUGUUGUAAUAAAUUAUCACAA
Molecule: long non-coding RNA, 2259 nt
Organism: Cavia porcellus (domestic guinea pig)
Lineage: Eukaryota; Metazoa; Chordata; Mammalia; Rodentia; Caviidae
Exons: 4
Source: RefSeq, a predicted model, not a curated record